Molecule: ribosomal RNA, 253 nt
Filed under: uncultured bacterium
Lineage: Bacteria
Description: partial 16S ribosomal RNA
Rfam family: Bacterial small subunit ribosomal RNA
Source: RNAcentral
UACGUAGGGGGCAAGCGUUAUCCGGAUUUACUGGGUGUAAAGGGCGUGUAGGCGGGACUGCAAGUCAGAUGUGAAAACCACGGGCUCAACCUGUGGCCUGCAUUUGAAACUGUAGUUCUUGAGUACUGGAGAGGCAGACGGAAUUCCUAGUGUAGCGGUGAAAUGCGUAGAUAUUAGGAGGAACACCGGUGGCGAAGGCGGCCUGCUGGACUGUGACUGACGUUGAGGCCCGAAGGCGUGGGGAGCAAACAGG